CGGUUGUCCCACCUGACCCCAUGCCGAACUCAGAAGUGAAACGCCGUAGCGCCGAUGGUAGUGUGGGGUCUCCCCAUGCGAGAGUAGGGAACUGCCAGGC
Molecule: ribosomal RNA, 100 nt
Filed under: Salmonella enterica subsp. enterica serovar Dublin
Lineage: Bacteria; Pseudomonadati; Pseudomonadota; Gammaproteobacteria; Enterobacterales; Enterobacteriaceae
Source: RNAcentral